CCUACGGGGGGCAGCAGUGGGGAAUAUUGGACAAUGGGCGAAAGCCUGAUCCAGCCAUGCCGCGUGUGUGAAGAAGGCCUUCGGGUUGUGAAGCACUUUCAGUGGGGAAGAAAGCCUUGGGGCUAAUACCCUCGAGGAAGGACAUCACCCACAGAAGAAGCACCGGCUAACUCCGUGCCAGCAGCCGCGGUAAUACGGAGGGUGCGAGCGUUAAUCGGAAUUACUGGGCGUAAAGCGCGCGUAGGCGGUCUGAUAAGCCGGUUGUGAAAGCCCCGGGCUCAACCUGGGAACGGCAUCCGGAACUGUCAGGCUAGAGUGCAGGAGAGGAAGGUAGAAUUCCCGGUGUAGCGGUGAAAUGCGUAGAGAUCGGGAGGAAUACCAGUGGCGAAGGCGGCCUUCUGGACUGACACUGACGCUGAGGUGCGAAAGCGUGGGUAGCAAACAGGAUUAGAUACCCGUGUAGUC
Molecule: ribosomal RNA, 465 nt
Filed under: Vreelandella stevensii
Lineage: Bacteria; Pseudomonadati; Pseudomonadota; Gammaproteobacteria; Oceanospirillales; Halomonadaceae
Description: partial 16S ribosomal RNA
Rfam family: Bacterial small subunit ribosomal RNA
Source: RNAcentral